UACUCCUUUAGAAUUGCAGUCUAACGUCAUUAUUGACUAUAAAGCC
This 46-nucleotide transfer RNA is filed under the name Cochliomyia hominivorax (primary screw-worm). RNAcentral's name for it is "partial tRNA-Cys". Lineage: Eukaryota; Metazoa; Arthropoda; Insecta; Diptera; Calliphoridae. The record is from RNAcentral.